GGGUAGUAUCUCAACUGUUUUCCUUGACAUUCAAUUGUUAAGAAAUAAAUACACUCUACUAUUUCCAAAUCUAACCCGAGGGUUAAAAAUCCUAAGCAAUUCAAAUAAAAAAGUUCAUCGGUCAAAGUGCAAAAUAACAUAAAAAACAAAAGGAAAAAUAUACAAAAGGCCCGCUGGGAAUCCUCAAUAAAAAAAUCUCAGGCAAAAGUUAGGGCAAAUAAAGUGCACUAUCAAUGACCGCAAAAAGGAACAAUUCAAAUACCCCUCGGGAAGAUUAUCGCCUAAAUAUUAGGCAUUCACCUACUACACCACAAAAAUCCAACAAAAUCUUAGUACUUGAAUGUCAUGUCAAGAAAACUGUUGAAAUAGGACAAUGGAGAAAGGAGAACAUAGAAAGGGGUUUGGGAAACACAUUUUUGAGCCUUAUCCUUUUUCUUGGAAACCCUUAGCCCGGCCACGAUACAAGCUCAAAAGACCUUGUCGAGGAUAGGAUCUGCCUAAGAGACGUACUAGGGCAAAGAAAUGCUAACUCCAAUAAAUAUCAUAAAGUUUUGAUGAAAAUAUCUCAUUUUAAUGCAUCGGAUUAAAUCUCAAUCUCUCAUCAUCACCACCAUCAUAUCAACACUCAAAACCCAAAAACAAAAAUCCAAAUUUGCUUGAUCACUGUUUUUAGUAUUUAUUUUUAAGGAGUUGUGCAUGAAGAAAACACUUGACAAGUUGAAAUCAAACGAAAGGUGUCAAACUGGGG
Molecule: long non-coding RNA, 748 nt
Filed under: Lupinus angustifolius (narrow-leaved blue lupine)
Lineage: Eukaryota; Viridiplantae; Streptophyta; Magnoliopsida; Fabales; Fabaceae
Description: long non-coding RNA (LANG_LNC000654)
Source: RNAcentral